GGCCGAGGGGAGACGCUCGCUCGCCUCGGGGUGCGGAGGCUGAGCGCUGGAGCGGAGUGGAUCGACUGGCGGCCCCUUGGCGGAGGCACCCAUCCGGCUCUGGGUUCCUGGAGGCUCGCACGGGGACAGACACGGGGCACAGAUCCUGCUGCUCUGGCCCUCAGAGGUACCACUGGAUGAAUUGCUAAAUGGCCACCUGCUUCUGAGCAUUGUUCAAACUGGCGGGAUCCUCAGAGCCAGGAGGUGA
Non-coding RNA from Sus scrofa (pig), 247 nucleotides. NCBI's taxonomy places the organism in Eukaryota, Metazoa, Chordata, Mammalia, Artiodactyla, Suidae. The record is from RefSeq and is a predicted model, not a curated record.